RNAcentral lists this unclassified non-coding RNA (319 nucleotides) under fungal sp. Its description in RNAcentral is "partial internal transcribed spacer region". The stretch from base 1 to 46 matches the Rfam family "Eukaryotic small subunit ribosomal RNA", at positions 1786 to 1831 of the family's 1831-position model. The record is from RNAcentral. Lineage: Eukaryota; Fungi.
AAGUCGUAACAAGGUUUCCGUAGGUGAACCUGCGGAAGGAUCAUUAACAAAUCCUUUUUUGUGAUGUAUUUGUUGUUUUCAAUCUUUCAUGGCAUGUACUUUAUAUUUCUCUUUUGUUGAAUAAACAAGAUGAUUGAUAAUGAAUUACAUUGUUUUGAAAUACAAAAACAAUAAUACAAAACAUACGUUCCAUGUACAAUGAGAUUCAUUUCUUUGAUGAUAUUGUUGUACAUGAUAACAUAUUUCUACGAAUCAUCUGAUUGUAUAAAUAAUAAUUAAGCAUAAAUAAUGACUUUUAACAAUGGAUCUCUAGACUCUU